GACGAACGCUGGCGGCGUGCCUAAUACAUGCAAGUAGAACGCAGUUGCGAACGGGUGAGUAACGCGUAGGUAACUGCCUGGUAGCGGGGGCUAACUAUUGGAAACGAUAGCUAAUACCGCAUACUACCAGGUGGACCUGCGUUGUAUUAGCUAGUUGGUGGGGUAAAGGCUCACCAAGGCAACGAUACAUAGCCGACCUGGGAGGGUGCUCGGCCACACUGGGGCUUGGAAAAGGCCCCGACUCCUACGGGAGGCAGCAGGAGGGAAUCGUCGGCAAUUGACGGAAGUCCGACCGGGCAACGCCGCGUGAGGGAAGAAGGUUUUCGGAGCGUAAAGCUCCUGUGUAAGAGAAGCGGUAUCUUACCAGAAAGGGACGGCUAACUACGUGCCAGCAGCCGCGGUAAUAC
This 407-nucleotide ribosomal RNA is filed under the name uncultured bacterium. RNAcentral's name for it is "partial 16S ribosomal RNA". It matches the Rfam family "Bacterial small subunit ribosomal RNA", at positions 28 to 526 of the family's 1533-position model. The record is from RNAcentral.